RNAcentral lists this ribosomal RNA (455 nucleotides) under Actinomadura sp. XM-24-3. Its description in RNAcentral is "bacterial SSU rRNA". It matches the Rfam family "Bacterial small subunit ribosomal RNA", at positions 58 to 527 of the family's 1533-position model. The record is from RNAcentral. Lineage: Bacteria; Bacillati; Actinomycetota; Actinomycetes; Streptosporangiales; Thermomonosporaceae.
CAAGUCGAGCGGAAAGGCCCCUUCGGGGGUACUCGAGCGGCGAACGGGUGAGUAACACGUGAGCAACCUGCCCCUGACUCUGGGAUAAGCCCGGGAAACUGGGUCUAAUACCGGAUAUAACCACUGGUCGCAUGGUCUGGUGGUGGAAAGUUUUUCGGUUGGGGAUGGGCUCGCGGCCUAUCAGCUUGUUGGUGGGGUGAUGGCCUACCAAGGCGACGACGGGUAACCGGCCUGAGAGGGCGACCGGUCACACUGGGACUGAGACACGGCCCAGACUCCUACGGGAGGCAGCAGUGGGGAAUAUUGCGCAAUGGGCGGAAGCCUGACGCAGCGACGCCGCGUGGGGGAUGACGGCCUUCGGGUUGUAAACCUCUUUCAGCAGGGACGAAGCGGAAGUGACGGUACCUGCAGAAGAAGCGCCGGCUAACUACGUGCCAGCAGCCGGGGGUAAUUCA